GGAGGGUGCAAGCGUUGUUCGGAAUUACUGGGCGUAAAGGGCGUGUAGGCGGCUUCGUAAGUCCUCUGUGAAAGCCCUCGGCUCAACCGAGGAACUGCAGAAGAAACUGCGGAGCUUGAGUCCGGGAGAGGAGAGCGGAAUUCCCAGUGUAGCGGUGAAAUGCGUAGAUAUUGGGAGGAACACCGGUGGCGAAGGCGGCUCUCUGGACCGGUACUGACGCUGAGACGCGAAAGCUAGGGGAGCAAACGGGAUUAGAUACCCCGGUAGUCCUAGCUGUAAACGAUGAGCACUUGGUGUGGCGGGUAUCGACCCCUGCCGUGCCGAAGCUAACGCAUUAAGUGCUCCGCCUGGGGAGUACGGCCGCAAGGCUG
Molecule: ribosomal RNA, 371 nt
Filed under: uncultured bacterium
Lineage: Bacteria
Description: bacterial SSU rRNA
Rfam family: Bacterial small subunit ribosomal RNA
Source: RNAcentral